This 497-nucleotide ribosomal RNA is filed under the name uncultured bacterium. Its description in RNAcentral is "partial 16S ribosomal RNA". It matches the Rfam family "Bacterial small subunit ribosomal RNA", at positions 28 to 507 of the family's 1533-position model. The record is from RNAcentral.
GAUGAACGCUGGCGGCGUGCCUAAUACAUGCAAGUCGAGCGAACGGACGAGAAGCUUGCUUCUCUGGUGUUAGCGGCGGACGGGUGAGUAACACGUGGAUAACCUACCUAUAAGACUGGGAUAACUUCGGGAAACCGGAGCUAAUACCGGAUAAUAUUUUGAACCGCAUGGUUCAAAAGUGAAAGACGGUCUUGCUGUCACUUAUAGAUGGAUCCGCGCUGCAUUAGCUAGUUGGUAAGGUAACGGCUUACCAAGGCAACGAUGCAUAGCCGACCUGAGAGGGUGAUCGGCCACACUGGAACUGAGACACGGUCCAGACUCCUACGGGAGGCAGCAGUAGGGAAUCUUCCGAAAUGGGCGAAAGCCUGACGGAGCAACGCCGCGUGAGUGAUGAAGGUCUUCGGAUCGUAAAACUCUGUUAUUAGGGAAGAACAUAUGUGUAAGUAACUGUGCACAUCUUGACGGUACCUAAUCAGAAAGCCACGGCUAACUACGUG